This 7031-nucleotide long non-coding RNA is filed under the name Xyrichtys novacula (pearly razorfish). The record is from RNAcentral. Lineage: Eukaryota; Metazoa; Chordata; Actinopteri; Labriformes; Labridae.
AAGAAGGGCACUGCUACAUGUGCUAAAACGACUUCAAACAGACAGUAAAAACACCUGAAUAACCUGUGUUUGGCUAUGAUUUUGUCUGGAGAGCCCCUACACUCUUACAAGACGAUAAGCACUGUGUUUCUCAACAUUUUGACAGCUCAACAGAAAGAAACAGAAUGCCAGAAAUGAAGUGACGCUCUUCUUAAUGUUCCUGUCAGAUGAUACAAUAUGUAUGGCAGGUAAGCUAGCUCUAUAUCAAGAGGAACAGACAGAGAAUAAUAGCAGAAGGCGUAAAGCUGGAAGGACGUGUCUCUCUGUCUCCCUCCGUCAUCUGGACCCACCUGUCCGCAGUCGGAGCCGCUCAGAAGAUUUGCUGCCGGUCGGGGAAUUCGUGGCUGAGCGAUGCGUCAGGGCUUGUCAUAUAAAAUGUGAGUGCUUUCCCCUGAGUAAUUUAAUCACAGACUUUUAUGGAGGAAUCAGGCAGCACAGUGAGAGACAGAGUAAAAGGAUUGUAAUUGGACUUCUUUCAUUCAAAGUAAUAUAUGGAAUGUGUGGUAUAAUUACAGCGCAGAGUAAUGGCGUGUGGACGACUGAAAAGCUAACGCGUGGUGAUUGGUGUAACGUGUGUUCAUCAGGGGGAAUUUGCACCAUAUUGACCGGAGACUUUUCCUUCAGUAGUAUUUGGUAUGACUUUAUCAUGUGGUUUUCACACACCCCACCUUGUAUGUGAUGCAGGUUAGAUGGACUGAGAGAAAACUCUCUGUUCUCAAUAAAUGAAACUUAGUAGAAAUGGUCGUUUCUGUGACUGAUGAGUAAUGUGUGUGGGUGAUAGUCUGAGGUCGACUCUACUUUCAUUAAAAAAGCUCUUGAAUAGUCUGGAAACUCUCUUACACAACCGGGCUGUUUGAAUAGACUAUCUUUGGUAACUUUCAUUUCACCAUCUAAAAGAUAAACCAGGUGAAAGAUCAACCAGUGAUUUCUCUCUUCUUCAACACAUAUUGAGUUGAUUCAAAUGAAAAAGUUAACUUAAAAUACCCCCCAAAAAAAUACAAGCCCAUAAAAUUUAACCUUUUCCUUUUUUACUUGACCUAUAUUUAACAAAGAAGGUCCUUGAUUUUAAAUCAGAUAAAGUGAUUCUGCAAAGUAGAGUCUUGAUGGGGUGAGCAGGACCCCUGACAUUUACAUGUUGUUCAAAAAAUCUAAUUUUUGAGUCAGUCGGACCUAAACUAGGGUGAUCCUAUUCUGAAUCCCGAAAAAGAGGACACUACUAUGCGGGGCAGAGUUGUGGAGUCGCGCAUAGUAAAUUUUGAGAAUUUUUCGGGUCGGGUUGAGUGUCUUUUACACGCCUCUAACUCAGAUAGUCCACGUGACACAAACUCAAAACUUCCAUACAAAACCACGGACAUUUGAAGGAUUCUAAAAACUCCCCCGGACAAGGCCAGACAGCCCCCAAAAAGAGGCCACGGUAUGGUCACCCUACCUAAACUGGACUUUUGAAAUGCAUGUAAACACACUAGCCUGACUGAAAUCCCACUAGAUUGAACUCCCUAAAGACGGAUACCUGACUAAUAAAACUGGGGUUAGAUUUUCUCUUGCAUAUACACCUCAAUCAGACUGAAACUGUUCAAGUGCUUCAUGGUCUAAAUGUCAGACCCAGAAGUUUAACAGCAUAAAUGCAAGGAAGACGAUUAGUGAACUAAAACUUGACAGAACAAAAAGGGAUGAAAGAAAAAGACAAAUCUGUCGUAUCAGAGCGAUUAGGUAGUCUGAGUUUUCAUUAUGUGAUGUUUAACCUGUUAGCCUUCUGCUGCCGUGUUUGUUGAUUGUUUUGGUAUGUGACUUGAUAGGCUAGGGUCUAGAAAAAGGGUGCAUUACCAACGACUGUUGUAGAAGCAGACAUACUUUUGUCAAUAAAUGUAUUCUUGUACGGUGCCUUUAAACUGGGGUGAAGGCAAUAGUCGAGUUAAACUAGUGUAACGAUGCAUGUUAACGAACUGGCUAAAGAUUUAGUUUGAAUGUUGUGUACCAGCCUGCCACAAAGUUUGUUUACAUCCAUUUAGGGCGCUAUCAGAAGCUAACAUUUUUGCCACAGUGUCAACAAGCACAUAUGAUAUACGCUAAACUUUUUACCACAGAUUGAUUUGAUACAAGCUGUGUGAUUGGUUGCUAAUGAGAAUUAAUUACCAUUGUCAGGGAGUUUAAACCAAUCAGAAUUAAGUAUUUAGCAUGAUCAGGUAAUAAGUCAGGAUGGUACACCACUACAAAGUUUCCAGAUUUUUGAAUAAAAGCUUUGUGAAAACUGAGGACUAUUUUUGCGACUGAGCAGGAAAAACGGACGGCGGUCAAACAAGGUGAACUUUUAAUACAACUCAAUAAAUCACUACAUCACUGCAUGCCAAGAUUGUUCUAGAUAUUGAAUCCUGAAUUCAGUCAGGAGGCUAAAAAACUAUGAUAGUCAAACUAAACAACGUCUCAAGCAAAACUCUCUAAACAGGAAAGCCUUCGUGACUCAUAAGGAGGUCAUAUCUAGGGGAGAGUUUUGGGUAGCUGAUUAACGAACAGGAUUUACAUAUUAGUAAAUACUGUUUAUGACUGUGUGUGUGUGUAGAUGUGUGUAACUGUAUGAAAAAAAGCUAAUCUGUUUUUUAAUAAAACUUUAUUUUAUGUAUAUUUGUUUGUUUCCUCCUGCUUUUUGAAACAAGAUACUCUCUCUAGUACUUUUUUAUCGUCUGCUGAUGGUGAAUAUUUUUCAUCUUUUUUCAUCUCUGCUUCAUUUCUACUUCAUUUUUGAAGCUUGUUUAAUUAAAAAAAAGACAGAUUAAAAAAAGGUCAUAGAAAUAUGAAGAGAAGGACCUUUACUAAAUUCAAUCUGGAAUAAUAGUUUUAACAAUUUUAAUGAAGCUUCAAAAACGUAAUAAUGCUGCGGUGCAUUCUUAAAUUCUGUGAUAAGUGCUUUGCCGAUUAAUCAUUUUCAAUCAUUUAUUCAUUAAAUUAUCAUAUUUUCAAAACUACAGUAAGGAGUUUCUUUUCUAAUUUCAUUUUUGAGCUUUUAUUGCUUUUAUUUGUGGAGGGCACACAAGUGGACAGAGCAAGAAAUUAGGAAAUCAAAUCAAAAAUUCCUCUCAGCAGCAUUAAGAAAAACUUGAAUAUUUAACCUCCCCCGAGUGUGUGGUUGUCUACCAAAAUUUGGCGUCAUACUUAUUGUAUUGCUGAUGACAGAAAAACAAUCAUUAACUGGAAACCAGCUGUACCUGAACUGUUUGGGAAUUGCCAAACUGUGUGGUACUUAUUCACACUACUUUGGGUGUUUCCAUUCUCACGAGACAACUCAUUUUUCUGUUUCCUUGUUCUUACACACCAACUCUGGGCAGCAUGUUUGUGUGUGGCUAAAACCACAAAGUUCACACUUACCAUGGUACAUUUAAAGCUCAAGGAUGCUAAAGCUAAAGGGUGCUAACUCAGCUUACAAUGAAUGUGUGGGCAUAAGAAUAAUGUAGAUUAAUGAAUGCUGGACUUGUGUGCAGACAUCCAUCCAUGAUUAAUUUUGGUUUAAGCAUGUUUGAUAUUCUGUUCAUUUGCUCUGUAAUUUUAGCCGUUAUAUGUAUGAAGGUGGCUUUAAAGUUUCUGAUAAUAUGAGUGUGAAUGUGUCAUGUAUCUUGCUACAAAAGCCUUUAUUCAAGUAAAAUCAGGUAUAAACAAAGACGUUGAAUCAAAAUCGAUAAAAACUUUUACUUUUGGACCAUUUUUGAAUGUCUUUUUGAUAGUGUCUGUUGGGGGUGGGAAUUAUCAGUGGCCCCACGAUACAAUAUUAUCAUGAUACUUGGGCCAUGAUACGAUAUUAUUGCGAUUUUUAACAUUUUGCAAUACAGUAUAUUGCGAUUUAUACCAAUUUUUCAACUGUUUAGCUAAUUUAGCAUUUGUCUUUAUUUUGUCUUAUUAUGCUGUAUUUUAUUUUCAUGUAGCACAUCUUGUAAACCUUUUUAUAUAUAUUUGUUGUACUAACUUUCUCCUGCUCUAUAAUGUCACCUUUGCCAACCUCUCUUGACAAAAAGUUGAUUUUUUUUUUCCAUUACAUUUGACUAAAUAUUAGCAAUUAAUUUGAAACAAUCAAUACUUGGUAAAUGAGACGAUAUGAUAUAUCACCAGACAAAACAUUGUGAUACUAUGCUGGAUCAAUUUUUUCUACCAUCCCUAGUCUUCGUAGAUGUUUUGUAACCUAAGGUGCAUCUGAAAGACCAAAAAAUUACCUCCUAAGUCCUUUCCUGUCCUCUUAUCCUCACCCCUGAUUGUUAAAGUGACUGGGUUAAGGGGAGAAGGAUAUUAAAAGUAAGGUAAAGGACCCUACAGCUCUCACACUCAGCUAAUAUUACUAAUGUCACGUAAAUCUGCUGCGUAGAAACUACAGCUUACUGCAAAUGAACUAUAAAAAGCGCUGUGUGCUAAGUGAGACAUGAACAGGUUUCUCCUGGUAAUGAGGUAGAAUUUCUGCCUUUAGCUGCAGAGACAGUCUGAAGAUCUGGGAAAACAUCUGAGAGGACGACUAUUCAAACAGACUUGUUUUAGCUUGUUUUAAUGUAAAAAUACUCUUUCCUCGAUGUUGGCGGCUUUAGGGGAGUUUUCUUAUGGUCUCAUGUGACCUCCGAGAUGUCCAUGUAGAUUCUCAUUUAUCCAGGUCAUGGUUUUCUUGAAGACUUAAAAAACAGGCAACUGGACAGUCCAGUUGCCUGUUUUUUAAGUCUUCAAGAUGACCUCUGAGAUGAACUCCAGACCUGAGCUCUAUACUGUAAGAUAAGACAAACUUUAUCCUUGAAGGGAAAUUCAGUAUAAUAUAAUAUAAUAUAAUAUAAUAUAAUACAAUAUACUGUAUAUACAUACAAGCUUGAGGUAUACAUUUGCCCUCGAAUUAGCAGAGUAAUGUAACCUGAUGACGGCGCCACCCAAACAUUCAAAACAUUAAGGUCUAGUCACACUUUCCAUCAUCUCGCUCAUCAUGAAACAUCACUGAAAUGAGAUCUAGGUUGGGUGCAUGUAUGCGUGUGUGUGUGUGUGUGUGUGUGUGUGUGUGUGUGUGUGUGUGUGUGUGUGUGUGUGUGUGUGUGUGUGAGUGUGUUGUUGAGAGACACAGGCAAAGAGAGAGAGAGAGAGAGCGAGCGAGGAGGAAGAGAAGAGGAGAGCAUUUCACAAUCCUCAGAUAAACUCAAUGUGACAAGAUGGUUACUUUCUCCCUCUGCUGUGACAGUUAAUUCUGGACUAGGAAAAAUGUCAAAAAUGUUUAGCUGCGCUUGAGCGGACUUAAUUACAGAGCCCAGGGCAACUCAGACUCAGGCUGCUAAUGGCCUUGACUUACAGAUAAAGCUCCAUUUACCAAGACUGUUUUUUUUUUCGCUACUGAUCUAAUUUACUUAAAAUCAAAUAUUUUGGCAGCAGCAAUUAGAUUUUCGGUGUGAAGGAUGGAAUUAAGCAGUCUGGUUUGUUUUACCUGCUUUAUGUUGAGUACAAUUAGACCUGUUUUUAUUAAACGGUGGUGUUUUGUGAGCUCGGCUCGAUGCAUGAGAAACAAAAACCACACUCUUGCACAAUUAUCUUCAACACAUCUUUGACAUUCUUGUUGUAAACUGUCACCACCUGACAUUUAGACCUUUUGACCACCUGAAAAACUGUCACUCUCUCUCUCUGCUCACCGUCUCUGUUUUUUUUUUUUUCCCCUGCGUGUAUAUCGCUCUCUCUUUCUCUUUGUCUCUUUCCUUCCUCUGAGGUCAGCAAACCACAGUGUCAGUGUGUUUUCAAGCCGCUCUUACAUGAAUUUGUGGUUGCAUCACUUCCCCGUCGCAGCACAGGUCCCUUCGGUGCUGCAGCGUCGAGAGCAACACGUAAAAAGUCUGUGAAACGGCGAUGAAGACAUCAGCAGCUGCAGCAGCACAGGCAGGGCCAGAGCCUCGUCGACCCGGGUUCCCAGAGAUCAGGACCUCGAGGCGGUCUGUGAAAUGAGUUGGAGUUGGAAAAUCACCACAGGGAUAUUCCACGCCCUGCUGCCAAUUUCACUAUCAUAAUCAACCUCGGCUUGUGGAAUGAUAUUAUGAGACCAGCUAUUUUUUUCGCUGACACUUUCAGUGUGCAUAGAUUUUGUGGUGCAGAAAGAUAAAAGAGCAGAUAAGAAAUGUGCGGGGGAGGAAUGUGGAUUGUACAAAAAAAAAAAAGAAAAAAAAGACAAGAGUAGUGCUGAAUUUUCCUUAUCUGAUGUGAAAUGUUCUUGUUUUAAUUUGUAAAUGAGUUUGAUGAGAUUGAAGCAGAGGCUUUUGUUUGAUUUAAUGAGUUAAGUGCAUUCAUAAGUGCUGACAUGGUGAAGCGAAAAAGUAAAGAGACAUAUGUUUGCCAAUCUGAUCAUUAGGAGGGUAAAAAAAUCCAAGAGGACAGAUUGAUCCCAGAUUUACUCAGAGUGUUUAAAGCCCACUAGUUUGAUAAUCGCCAAAUAAAGGGCGAAAAUUCACUCCCUUACUAGAAUUAAGACAUCCUUCUUUAACAUGUCCGUUAAACACGACUCUUCUACAGCAACCUCAUAUCCAUACAGAUGUAAUUACAUAACAUACUCUAUAAAUACGUUUUAAGAGACGUGGUUGUCUUGUAAAAAUAGUUCUGCACUGGAAAUGUAAAGUGGACGAUCCCACGCUCCCACGAUUCUUGGAGAUCUGAUGUUCGUUGUUAACCGCUUUUGAACGAGAACAAACCACCUGAGAGUAAACCUGUAACAUUAUCAGACAACAGCAUCCAUAUGUUUCUGCCAUUAAUACAUGAGACUCAAUACUCAUUUAUGCUACAUAUCUGAUACUGUCCUGUGAUGUUUUCUGGGGGUUCAGUUCCUCAUAUCCUCUCAUGUCUGUGCACUGAAGAAAAUCAACCCAGAAGUCCAUACAUUUCUACAGGAUACCAUAUAACAGGCCUGAAAACAUCCUAAUAUUGAGGCCAGGUCUCAUUAAGUUUGUGACUAUAGUGUCCAAAGUCCUGUGCAAAUAUGAAUGACACCUCUAGUCUCUAAUGCAAGAAAG